GCCGCCGGCCUCGCCCACCCGCCUGCCUCUCGCCCGGCGGCCGCUCCCGGAUCCCGAUCCCCGCGGGGAGGAGCCAGGGAGAUGACAUCGAACAUCCUGGCGUACAACAUGGAACAUGGUCCACCAAAAAGACAUCUCCACACGGACUCCCUCCAGCUUCAUUGGAGUGGACCAUACCAGAGAUGGUUCACUUAAGUAACAGAAAUUUACCUAAAUGGCCUACUCAAGGUCACCUGAGAAGUCCUCUGUGUCAUCUGCUGAUGGAUAUUCAAAGUGUAAAAAUACCUGCGGCCUCCUUGCAGAUCCAAAUUCAUAGCAUCCUUUGGCAAGUGCCAUUGGAGGGAUGAAUCAUCUUCUUUACUCUUUACAGCAAGGCUCCUACCUGUUGGCCUUCCCUCAGCUUCACCAAGCGCCCACAUACCGGGAAACGCAGACUUCAGCCCCCCUCUUUCCUAUCUUAUCUGCACUAAAAGCAGAGUGAGGACAGAACAUGACUUUUUCUGAGAUGUUUUUAUGAAUCACUUUGAUCAAAUAGUUGGCCAUAUCUUCUUUUGUUCCCCCAAAUUCUUCUAUUAAUCCAGUCAACAAACAUUUUUGAAACACGUAUUUUGUUGCUACUCACUGUGCUAGACACAGGGGACACUAGUCAUGCCCCUCCUUCGUGGGCAGGACAGACAGUAAAAAAGAACCAGCCCCACUGUGGUCAGUGCUAUGAAGAUGGCAAACGUGAUGAGCUGGGGGAGGAACGCAGGAAUGGAUGGAGCAGGGAAGGCCUCUAGUUGAUGUAUGGAGCCUGGGGGUAGUUCUGUACAGGAAGGUGACAGGGACCCUAACAGUUGUGGGGGGGGGACUUUUUGGAACUGAAGCAGCAGGUAUAGAGUGAGCACUUCCAUGUACCACACUUGUGUCUACACAAUGUCAAAACAUUUUUUAAAAAAUAAUGACCCUCAACCCCAGCAAAAGAAGAACCCUGGAAUAUAUACUGAAGGACCCAUGGGUCAAUAUGGGCCAGAAGGAGGAACUCUGGCCUAACAGCGAGCCACCCUGGGGCCACAUGGACCCCCAAGUAACAGAGAUAAUGAAGAAUCUGGGAUUUGAGUGGGACGAGAUCCAGGAAUCAGAAACAGAAAGUACAACACGUACCUGAUCUUAAUAAGUUCCACGGAAUACAAGGUGAAGGGCCACACUAUCAGGGUAAGACCUGGUGUUCCCUUCACCCCACAGUUGCAGUCCUUCCCCAGCCUGAGAGGUUCUUCCAUCAGAGAGAAGACCAGAGAGCCUGCCAUUCACCCGCCCAGCCCAGCCCCCCAGCGUGGCCUGGGGGCUCCCCUUCCACCCACAGCAGCAACAACAAAAACUCCUUCCAUGCUGAGCAGCCUGAUGGUGGACCCCAGUUCUCCCUCUGGCCAGUCAGGGCCAGCAGGGGUGGCUAGGAGGGUCUUCAGUUUCCUGUUAAGCCUCAUGUACUGCAAGCCAUCCACUAACAAGCAGCAUGUCUAAAGGACGAGUCAAGCUAAUGUAAUUCUUAAAAUUGUGGAUGGCCAAGGCAGGGCCACAAAGACUCAGGGAAGUCAAGCUACACUCCCUGCAUUUUAAAUGCUGAACUUCAAGGUGCUGAGCUUCCGGGAGGUCAGCCAGAGGCUGGAUGCAAACAGCCGCCGGUCCGAGUGGUGCUAGAAAUACAUGCUGUGUGUGCAGAAACCUGUGAGUGAGAGGGUUCGUAUCAGGAAGGUAUCCGGCACCUCCACGGCCUUCAGAAGCAUCUUAACCGCUUGGAGGACGGCCCGGAGCCCUCUGGGGGUCAAAAGGAGAGGCCGUCCUCACUGUGGGUCCACCCCUUGGCCUCCACUUGAAUGAGACUUCAGAGAAUGGACUGCUUUUUCCUGGGGCCCUUCUCCCUGGCCCUGCUAUUGUUUUCUCCCAUUUUGGGGUGAUUUUAUUAAAGUAUUUGGUUCUUCCAAAUCUUGUAAUAAACUUGAUGCUUCAGGAAAAAAACAUUAACAAUGACUAAUUGUGAUACUAUCUCCUUGUCUUACCAAAUGUAUUGAAAUAACAUUAGUGUAUUUAUUUUUUAACAACCACCAUCUAAAAAAAAAAAUCUCAAAGUGGCAUUUAUUUGACCAAGACAGCCUUAGCAUCAUAAAUCCACUAAAUCUUACACACAUAUAUUCCAUCUGGUGAGGUAUUACGCACAUUCAGAGAUCCUUGACUUUAGAAGUUUUGAUGGAACAUCACUUCAGGUUAUGA
Long non-coding RNA from Myotis lucifugus (little brown bat), 2247 nucleotides. RefSeq lists it as uncharacterized. NCBI's taxonomy places the organism in Eukaryota, Metazoa, Chordata, Mammalia, Chiroptera, Vespertilionidae. The record is from RefSeq and is a predicted model, not a curated record. The transcript has 3 exons.